RNAcentral lists this ribosomal RNA (400 nucleotides) under uncultured fungus. RNAcentral describes it as "eukaryotic LSU rRNA". The stretch from base 1 to 112 matches the Rfam family "5.8S ribosomal RNA", at positions 43 to 154 of the family's 154-position model. The record is from RNAcentral. Lineage: Eukaryota; Fungi.
ACGCAGCGAAAUGCGAUAAGUAAUGUGAAUUGCAGAAUUCAGUGAAUCAUCGAAUCUUUGAACGCACCUUGCGCCCUUUGGUAUUCCGAAGGGCAUGCCUGUUUGAGUGUCAUUAAAUUAUCAACCUUGCUCGCUUUUACCGGCUUGAGUUAGGCUUGGAUGUGAGGGUCUUUGCUGGCUUCCUUCAGUGGAUGGUCUGCUCCCUUUAAAUGCAUUAGUUGGGAUCUCUUGUGGACCGUCACUUGGUGUGAUAAUUAUCUAUGCCAUCUUGACUUUGAAGCAAACUAAUGGGAACCUGCUCAUAACCGUCCUUUCAGGGCAACUCUUGACAUUUUGACCUCAAAUCAGGUAGGACUACCCGCUGAACUUAAGCAUAUCAAUAAGCGGAGGAAAAGAAACU